RNAcentral lists this ribosomal RNA (301 nucleotides) under uncultured bacterium. RNAcentral's name for it is "partial 16S ribosomal RNA". It matches the Rfam family "Bacterial small subunit ribosomal RNA", at positions 509 to 807 of the family's 1533-position model. The record is from RNAcentral.
CAGUCGCCGCGGGAAUACGGAGGGUGCGAGCGUUAAUCGGAAUUACUGGGCGUAAAGCGUACGCAGGCGGUUUGUUAAGUCAGAUGUGAAAUCCCCGAGCUUAACUCGGGAACUGCAUUUGAAACUGGCAGGCUAGAGUCUCGUAGAGGGGGGUAGAAUUCCAGGUGUAGCGGUGAAAUGCGUAGAGAUCUGGAGGAAUACCGGUGGCGAAGGCGGCCCCCUGGACAAAGACUGACGCUCAGGUGCGAAAGCGUGGGGAGCAAACAGGAUUAGAUACCCCAGUAGUCCCUGUCUCUUAUAC